AACCUAGCACACCUGCGGUGUGUACCUGCGGAGGGAUCAUUACUGAGUGAGGGCCUUCGGGCUCGACCUCCAACCCUUUGUGAACACAACUUGUUGCUUCGGGGGCGACCCUGCCGUUUCGACGGCGAGCGCCCCCGGAGGCCUUCAAACACUGCAUCUUUGCGUCGGAGUUUAAGUAAAUUAAACAAAACUUUUAGCAAUGGAUCU
Molecule: unclassified non-coding RNA, 207 nt
Filed under: soil metagenome
Description: partial contains 5.8S ribosomal RNA, internal transcribed spacer 2, and large subunit ribosomal RNA
Source: RNAcentral